Poecilia reticulata (guppy) is the source of this 387-nucleotide non-coding RNA. The record is from RefSeq and is a predicted model, not a curated record. NCBI's taxonomy places the organism in Eukaryota, Metazoa, Chordata, Actinopteri, Cyprinodontiformes, Poeciliidae.
CAGACCGGAGCGGGCUGGGGAAUUAGAGACUCGGGUUUGGUGGUCAACAUGGUCUUGUAGUGCAUGCAUUAUCUAUCCUGGAGUACAACUGGUGAAGCGAACAGGUUGUUCAAAGGAAAUCAAAGAGUAAAAACAGUGAAAAUCUUACCCACCUGCAAGCAUUGUCUCUGUCUGUGUGGGUGGGAAUGGCUCUGACGGACACUGUCAUUCCACAGCUGGAUGCACAUCACACAUGAGGGAGCCACUCAAAAGAGCUCAAGAGGAGUAACAAAGCUGUGGAUGACAAGUUGUGCAACAGUUUGGGGGGAAGAAAAGGGACUCAUUUUGUAUAGUGUGUUUAUGCAGAUUUUUUGUUCUGUUUCACUAUUUCCAUGUAAAAAAAAAAAA